AGCCCUUGACAUGGGGAUUUUGGUCACCGGAGACGGUGUCCUUCAGUUCGGCUGGAUCCCGCACAGGUGCUGCAUGGCUGUCGUCAGCUCGUGUCGUGAGAUGUUGGGUUAAGUCCCGCAACGAGCGCAACCCUCAUCUUCAGUUGCCAUCAGGUUUGGCUGGGCACUCUGGAGAAACUGCCCGUGACAAGCGGGAGGAAGGCGGGGAUGACGUCAAGUCCUCAUGGCCCUUACGGGCUGGGCUACACACGUGCUACAAUGGCGGUGACAAUGGGCAGCGAAGGGGCGACCUGGAGCUAAUCCCCAAAAACCGUCUCAGUUCGGAUUGUACUCUGCAACUCGAGUGCAUGAAGGUGGAAUCGCUAGUAAUCGUGGAUCAGCAUGCCACGGUGAAUACGUUCCCGGGCCU
Molecule: ribosomal RNA, 409 nt
Filed under: uncultured bacterium
Lineage: Bacteria
Description: bacterial SSU rRNA
Rfam family: Bacterial small subunit ribosomal RNA
Source: RNAcentral